This 250-nucleotide ribosomal RNA is filed under the name Thraustochytriidae sp. Its description in RNAcentral is "Thraustochytriaceae sp. partial small subunit ribosomal RNA". It matches the Rfam family "Eukaryotic small subunit ribosomal RNA", at positions 1377 to 1610 of the family's 1831-position model. The record is from RNAcentral. Lineage: Eukaryota; Bigyra; Thraustochytrida; Thraustochytriidae.
UAGUACUGUUUAUGGUAACAUAGGUAGAGACUUCUUAGAGGGACAUUUCGGGUUUACCGAAAGGAAGUUUGUGGCAAUAACAGGUCUGUGAUGCCCUUAGAUGUUCUGGGCCGCACGCGCGCUACACUGACGACUUCAACAAGUUUUUUGGCCUUGCCAAAUUUCCUUGGCCAGAAGGUCUGGGUAAUCUUUUAAAAGGUCGUCGUGAUGGGGCUAGAUUCUUGCAAUUAUUAAUCUCCAACGAGGAACC